UACGUAGGGCGCAAGCGUUGUCCGGAAUUAUUGGGCGUAAAGAGCUCGUAGGCGGCUUGUCACGUCGGGUGUGAAAGCCCGGGGCUUAACCCCGGGUCUGCAUUCGAUACGGGCUAGCUAGAGUGUGGUAGGGGAGAUCGGAAUUCCUGGUGUAGCGGUGAAAUGCGCAGAUAUCAGGAGGAACACCAAUGGCGAAGGCAGCUCGCUGGGACGGUACUGACGCUAAGGCGCGAAAGCGUGGGGAGCAAACAGG
RNAcentral lists this ribosomal RNA (253 nucleotides) under uncultured bacterium. Its description in RNAcentral is "partial 16S ribosomal RNA". It matches the Rfam family "Bacterial small subunit ribosomal RNA", at positions 524 to 776 of the family's 1533-position model. The record is from RNAcentral.